This 914-nucleotide ribosomal RNA is filed under the name uncultured Nitrososphaerota archaeon. RNAcentral's name for it is "bacterial SSU rRNA". It matches the Rfam family "Archaeal small subunit ribosomal RNA", at positions 1 to 922 of the family's 1478-position model. The record is from RNAcentral. Lineage: Archaea; Thermoproteati; Nitrososphaerota.
UUCCGGUUGAUCCUGCCGGACCUGACUGCUAUCGGAUUGAUACUAAGCCAUGCGAGUCAUUGUAGCAAUACAAGGCAGACGGCUCAGUAACGCGUAGUCAACCUAACCUAUGGACGGGAAUAACCUCGGGAAACUGAGAAUAAUGCCCGAUAGAACACUAUAUCUGGAAUGGUUUGUGUUCCAAAUGAUUUAUCGCCGUAGGAUGGGACUGCGGCCUAUCAGUUUGUUGGUGAGGUAAUGGCCCACCAAGACUAUUACAGGUACGGGCUCUGAGAGGAGUAGCCCGGAGAUGGGUACUGAGACACGGACCCAGGCCCUAUGGGGCGCAGCAGGCGAGAAAACUUUGCAAUGUGCGAAAGCACGACAAGGUUAAUCCGAGUGGUUUGUGCUAAACGAACCUUUUGUCGGUCCUAGAAACACCGAUGAAUAAGGGGUGGGCAAGUUCUGGUGUCAGCCGCCGCGGUAAAACCAGCACCUCAAGUGGUCAGGAUGAUUAUUGGGCCUAAAGCAUCCGUAGCCGGCGCUAUAAGUUUUCGGUUAAAUCUGUACGCUCAACGUACAGGCUGCCGGGAAUACUGUAGCGCUAGGGAGUGGGAGAGGUAGACGGUACUCGGUAGGAAGGGGUAAAAUCCUUUGAUCUAUUGAUGACCACCUGUGGCGAAAGCGGUCUACCAGAACACGUCCGACGGUGAGGGAUGAAAGCUGGGGGAGCAAACCGGAUUAGAUACCCGGGUAGUCCCAGCUGUAAACUAUGCAAACUCAGUGAUGCAUUGGCUUGUGGCCAAUGCAGUGCUGCAGGGAAGCCGUUAAGUUUGCCGCCUGGGAAGUACGUACGCAAGUAUGAAACUUAAAGGAAUUGGCGGGGGAGCACCACAAGGGGUGAAGCCUGCGGUUCAAUUGGAUUCAACGCCGGA